This 428-nucleotide ribosomal RNA is filed under the name uncultured bacterium. RNAcentral describes it as "bacterial SSU rRNA". It matches the Rfam family "Bacterial small subunit ribosomal RNA", at positions 30 to 446 of the family's 1533-position model. The record is from RNAcentral.
AGUGAACGCUGGCGGCAGGCCUAACACAUGCAAGUCGAGCGGCAGCGCGUCCGACCACCCUCGGGUGGUCGGAUGGCGGCGAGCGGCGGACGGGUGAGGAAUGCAUCGGAAUCUGCCUCGUUGUGGGGGAUAACGUAGGGAAACUUACGCUAAUACCGCAUACGACCUACGGGUGAAAGUGGGGGACCUUCGGGCCUCACGCGAUGAGAUGAGCCGAUGCCGGAUUAGCUAGUUGGCGGGGUAAGGCCCACCAAGGCGACGAUCCGUAGCUGGUCUGAGAGGAUGAUCAGCCACACUGGAACUGAGACACGGUCCAGACUCCUACGGGAGGCAGCAGUGGGGAAUAUUGGACAAUGGGGGCAACCCUGAUCCAGCCAUGCCGCGUGUGUGAAGAAGGCCUCGGGUUGUAAGACACUUCUAGACGGAAC